Long non-coding RNA from Pteropus alecto (black flying fox), 1054 nucleotides. RefSeq lists it as uncharacterized. NCBI's taxonomy places the organism in Eukaryota, Metazoa, Chordata, Mammalia, Chiroptera, Pteropodidae. The transcript is spliced from 3 exons. The record is from RefSeq and is a predicted model, not a curated record.
AUGGCACUGGUUCCUUGGCGUGAGAAGAAUAAGGAAGGAGGGAGAACAGUGUAAAGCGUGACAGCUGAUACCUGGGAGUGAGAUGUGAAGUGGACAAACAUGGUGUUUACCUCAGGAGGUGGAGCCGACAGGACCUCCCGACAGACUGGAUAUGGAUGGCGGCUCCUUUCUUGGAAUACAUCACAUCAUAAUACUGCGAGUUCUCCUUCACCGCAAUGCCGUAGUAAUGGUACCUGGGCCACAAACAGAGAGAGAUCCACAUGCACCAUUAUCAGUCCCAGAAACACAACCCAACCUGCUCCCCACUGGGGGCCUUGGUACUGCCGUUCCUCUGCCUGGAAUGCAUUUACACCUGGAUCUUCACAAGACUGGCUCCUUCCCUCACCACAGGCUGGCCUCUGAGGGAGGUGCCUCUGCCCAGCGACCUCCUCCGAUGAGCCGAUGCAGAGUCGCAUGGCAGUCCCUCGGUAUCACGUGGCCCAGCUUUGUGUGUGCUUCCCGCUUAGCGCUCUGCAGUGAGCUUGCUGGCCCACCCUCUGAGUGCUUUUUUUCUCUUGCUUCCCUCACCUGAAUGGAAGCUGCAUGACGGCAGGGACCUGGCACAGGGCUUGGCACACGGGAAGAGCUCAAUCCUUUUCUGAUGAAUGAAGGAACAAGCCCUCCCCUGCCCCCGAGGCUAUCCUUUACUCAUCUGCAGAGUGGAGGAUGCUAACUGCUGUUGUCCAGGACAACCACACACAUUUGCCAGAAAUCUGGGAGGAUGGGGCCAUGUGCCCAGGUGAAAAUACAACUAAAGGGCCUCAUCCUUGGUGCUGACAGAGCUGAGGUCUGUGGAGAGGCAGGGUAGUGCAGGUCCUUGGGCAACGGCUUGUGGAAUUAGACUGCUUGGAUUAGAUCCAAGCUCAGCUUUGAGUGAGUCGAGAGCCCCUGGGCCAGUUUUUUAACAGUCAAAUGAUUCCGUUUCCUCAUUUAUCAAAUGGGAAUGAUAAUAACCCCUACUUCAGGGAAUUUUUUGUGAUGAGCUGAGCUGAAGAAUAAACAUACGUAAAUAAUU